UGAUUCUUUAUCGCAAAUAUAGCC
RNAcentral lists this non-coding RNA (24 nucleotides) under Arabidopsis thaliana (thale cress). The record is from RNAcentral. Lineage: Eukaryota; Viridiplantae; Streptophyta; Magnoliopsida; Brassicales; Brassicaceae.